RNAcentral lists this non-coding RNA (28 nucleotides) under Bombyx mori (domestic silkworm). The record is from RNAcentral. Lineage: Eukaryota; Metazoa; Arthropoda; Insecta; Lepidoptera; Bombycidae.
UAACUUUAAAUGUAGAUGUAGGUGAUGU